UAGUUCAGUUCAGGGUUGGAACCCUAAUGUUGACUAGCUGGGGAGAAACUCUAAUGCUGACCAACUGGGGAAAAGUUCAGUUUAGGGUUGGGGCCCUAAUGCUGACUGAAUGGAAAAGUUCAGUUUAGGGUUUAAAACCCUAAUGCUGACUAAUGGAAAAGUUCAGUUUAGGGUUUAAAACCCCAAUGUUGACUGAAUGGAAAAGUUCAGUUUAGGGUUUAAAACCCUAAUGCUGACUAAAGGAAAAGUUCAGUUUAGGGUUUUAAAACCCUAAUGCUGACUAAAGGAAACAGUUCAGUUUAGGGUUUAAAACCCUAAUGCUGACUGAAUGGAAAAGUUCAGUUUAGGGUUUUAAAACCCUAA
Molecule: long non-coding RNA, 363 nt
Filed under: Nicotiana tabacum (common tobacco)
Lineage: Eukaryota; Viridiplantae; Streptophyta; Magnoliopsida; Solanales; Solanaceae
Description: long non-coding RNA (NTAB_LNC016316)
Source: RNAcentral